Molecule: ribosomal RNA, 457 nt
Filed under: uncultured bacterium
Lineage: Bacteria
Description: bacterial SSU rRNA
Rfam family: Bacterial small subunit ribosomal RNA
Source: RNAcentral
GCACAAGCGGUGGAGCAUGUGGUUUAAUUCGACGCAACGCGAAAAACCUUACCUACCCUUGACAUGUCUGGAAUUUUGCAGAGAUGUGAAAGUGCUCGAAAGAGAGCCAGAACACAGGUGCUGCAUGGCCGUCGUCAGCUCGUGUCGUGAGAUGUUGGGUUAAGUCCCGCAACGAGCGCAACCCUUAUCUACAGUUGCUACCAUUUAGUUGAGCACUCUGUCGAAACCGCCUCGGAUAACGGGGAGGAAGGUGGGGAUGACGUCAAGUCCUCAUGGCCUUUAUGUCCAGGGCUACACACGUGCUACAAUGGCCGGUACAAACCGCUGCAAACCCGCGAGGGGGAGCUAAUCGGAAAAAGCCGGCCUCAGUUCGGAUUGGAGUCUGCAACUCGACUCCAUGAAGCUGGAAUCGCUAGUAAUCGUGGAUCAGCAUGCCACGGUGAAUACGUUCCCGGGC